UGGGGAAUUUUGGACAAUGGGCGAAAGCCUGAUCCAGCCAUGCCGCGUGAGUGAAGAAGGCCUUCGGGUUGUAAAGCUCUUUUAGUCGGAAAGAAAGAGUUGCAAUGAAUAAUUGUGAUUUAUGACGGUACCGACAGAAAAAGCACCGGCUAACUACGUGCCAGCAGCCGCGGUAAUACGUAGGGUGCGAGCGUUAAUCGGAAUUACUGGGCGUAAAGGGUGCGCAGGCGGUCUUGCAAGUCAGAUGUGAAAGCCUCGGGCUUAACCUGGGAAUUGCGUUUGAAACUACAAGGCUAGAGUGCAGCGGAGGGGAGUGGAAUUCCAUGUGUAGCAGUGAAAUGCGUAGAGAUGUGGAAGAACACCGAUGGCGAAGGCAGCUCCCUGGGUUGACACUGACGCUCAUGCACGAAAGCGUGGGGAGCAAACA
This 427-nucleotide ribosomal RNA is filed under the name uncultured bacterium. Its description in RNAcentral is "bacterial SSU rRNA". It matches the Rfam family "Bacterial small subunit ribosomal RNA", at positions 355 to 774 of the family's 1533-position model. The record is from RNAcentral.